CUCAUCUCAGCUUCCAAAAGUGCUGGGAUUACAGGCAUGAGCCACUGCACCCAGUCUUGUUAAAUAGAAUAGUUCUUAAGAGUAUUUUGCACCUGUGAGGUGGGGAAUGCAAGAGGAAUAUGUCUUGAUUCAGCCCAUCUCUGCAUUGCUACAGCCCCGGUGUCUACUUAUUUCAUGGACCCAGGUGAUCUUCCCAAACAAACGUAAAUUUUUUUCUGAGAUGUGGUCUUAAUACAUUUCCCAGGCCAGACUCAAAUAUUUAUCAGGCUAAACUCAAAUGCCUGUACUCAAGAUAUCCUUCUGCCUCAGCCACUUUCAUAGCUGGAAUUACAGGUGCACCUGGCAAGCACUUAGAGAUAAAUGUUUGUUGAUUUCAAUCACCUUUCAGACCUGGAAGGGAGUUAUUCUGAUGAGCAUUGAACAGCACUGAGGGGAUGAUGCUGAACCAGUCAUGAGAAACCACCCGAUAAUCCAAUUACUUCCCACCUAUAAUGCUGGGGAUCACAUCUUGACAUGAGAUUCGGGCAAGAACAACAUCCACCCUAUAUCAGGCAUCAAGGUGUCUUACAUUAAUGCACCUCUCAAAUUACCACAGUGAUGUCCACAGGACUGUGUCCCAUACGGGCAUUCUUUUCAUAGGCCAGUUUUCCAUUCCUCUCUUGAUUAAUUAUAUGGCUAGGCCAUCAGUCACUUCCCAUAAGUCAGUAAAAACUAAAACAUAGGAGCUUUUAUCAUUGUUCAAUCCUUCCAUCACUGCUAAGAAAAUACUAUGCAAUUCAUCCCACAAGAGUUGUUCUGUUUUUAUCCUCUUUGAUCAAAGGGGAGGACUUCCAAACAGGAUGUUGUCCAUUCAUCUUGCAAAUGCUGUACAUGAACAAACCAGCUCUUUAUGGGUCAGAAGACUGAUACUGCAGUUCAAAUCCCAGGGCAGAAUUCCAUCGUACUUGGGAAAGGCAAAAAGAAAAUGAUACCAACUGCAAAUAUGUAAUGAAGAGCACCAGAAAUGGUCUUUGACAGAUUGGAAUUCUAAUCAUUCAGGGAUUACCAGUAUUGUGCUACCUACUGUAUUAAUAAACAAAAAGGAAACUGGUCUCUAUGAGAAUCUCUAUCUAGUGCCUUCAGGCAAAACUUCACCAGGUUUAAAGAGAAAACCCCUGUCUCUACAACUCCAUUCCCAGGGCGAGCUCACUCUCUGGCAUCAAGUUCCCCGUGGUGAGUUUCCUUGUGGGCGCAGCCUAGGGGGUCUCUCCCUGGUUUCCACAGAUAGAUCCUUGACCAGGACUCAGGUAGACAGUGUGACAAAGAGGCUUGGUGUAGGAGAAGAGGGAUCAG
Long non-coding RNA from Sapajus apella (tufted capuchin), 1332 nucleotides. RefSeq lists it as uncharacterized. The transcript is spliced from 4 exons. The record is from RefSeq and is a predicted model, not a curated record. NCBI's taxonomy places the organism in Eukaryota, Metazoa, Chordata, Mammalia, Primates, Cebidae.